Non-coding RNA from Paramuricea clavata, 202 nucleotides. The record is from the annotation of a GenBank genome assembly. Lineage: Eukaryota; Metazoa; Cnidaria; Anthozoa; Malacalcyonacea; Plexauridae.
UUAAAAGAAAUUAGAUUGAUUAAUUUUACACUUACGUUCAUAAACAACAAGUUAGGAAAAUUGCUUUUAGUUCGUUCAAUUGUGCCCCUUAAAGAGACCUGCACUUCUAGUAAUAUCGCAGUAUUUUCAUUUUUCGAUCGAUCACAAUAUACAAUGUACUGUUAAGUAUCCAUAUGUUAAAGAAAAAUAGCAACAAAAGUUA